Molecule: ribosomal RNA, 392 nt
Filed under: uncultured bacterium
Lineage: Bacteria
Description: bacterial SSU rRNA
Rfam family: Bacterial small subunit ribosomal RNA
Source: RNAcentral
AUUGAACGCUGGCGGAAUGCUUUACACAUGCAAGUCGAACGGCAGCACGGGGCAACCUGGUGGCGAGUGGCGAACGGGUGAGUAAUACAUCGGAACGUGCCCAGUCGUGGGGGAUAACGUAGCGAAAGCUACGCUAAUACCGCAUACGAUCUACGGAUGAAAGCGGGGGACUCGCAAGAGCCUCGCGCGAUUGGAGCGGCCGAUGGCAGAUUAGGUAGUUGGUGGGGUAAAGGCUCACCAAGCCUGCGAUCUGUAGCUGGUCUGAGAGGACGACCAGCCACACUGGAACUGAGACACGGUCCAGACUCCUACGGGAGGCAGCAGUGGGGAAUUUUGGACAAUGGGCGCAAGCCUGAUCCAGCCAUUCCGCGUGCAGGAUGAAGGCCUCGGUU